GCAACCAGGUGUUACAGAUACAAACAUGGCGGGACAAAACCUAGCCCUGGUCUUUGGAUGUUCACAGGCCCUUUGGUGGACAGGAUGCAACUGAGUCUAUGAAGGACACCCUUCACCAACACUGUGGAAAUCAGAGGAAGGCAAAGGCUGCUUCCAACAUGGAAAACUCUCCUUCCACCUGGGAUCCCAAGGCCUUUGAAGCCCUCAAGGACUUUUCGCCUAAUUCAUUCUGGAACCAAACUAUGCCAGGAUGCAUUCAUUCCUUCAGAAGAAAAAAUAGAUAUUUUUUAAAUGCAUUCAUCUAUGAACUCCAGAAGAGACCAUUCUGGGAAAGAGGAGCCGUGAGCAGGGAGAUAUAUGAAUUGUAGGACACCAGCCCUUUGGAAAAGAUACCAGUCAAAGACGUAGCUGAUCAGCAUAAUGCUAUGCACCCAGAAUAUGCUCAAAAGAUGUACUAAUGUAUUCAAAAAUACUAGUAAUUUACUUUUUCUCAUUGGGAAAAAAUUUAAUGUGACUUACAACAUGUUUAAAUCAAUAAUAUUCUUUGAGAUAAAAUCAUAUCAAAG
This 566-nucleotide long non-coding RNA is filed under the name Vulpes vulpes (red fox). Its description in RNAcentral is "lncRNA (ENSVVUG00000027628.1)". Lineage: Eukaryota; Metazoa; Chordata; Mammalia; Carnivora; Canidae. The record is from RNAcentral.